GCCUGGGUGGCUCAGUCGGUUAAGUAUCUGACUUCAGCUCAGGUCAUGAUAUCACAGUUCGUAGGUUCGAGCCCUGCGUCGGGCU
This 85-nucleotide transfer RNA is filed under the name Felis catus (domestic cat). It matches the Rfam family "tRNA". From Rfam's summary of the family: Transfer RNA (tRNA) molecules are approximately 80 nucleotides in length. Their secondary structure includes four short double-helical elements and three loops (D, anti-codon, and T loops). Lineage: Eukaryota; Metazoa; Chordata; Mammalia; Carnivora; Felidae. The record is from Rfam by way of RNAcentral.